UACGGAGGGUGCAAGCGUUGCUCGGAAUUACUGGGCGUAAAGGGCGUGUAGGCGGUUUCGUAUGUCUGGCGUGAAAGCCCCGGGCUCACCUCGGGAAGUGCGUCGGAAACUGCGAGACUAGAGUCCCGGAGAGGGAGGUGGAAUUCCAGGUGUAGCGGUGAAAUGCGUAGAUAUCUGGAAGAACACCGGUGGCGAAAGCGGCCUCCUGGACGGUGACUGACGCUGAGACGCGAAAGCGUGGGGAGCAAAC
Molecule: ribosomal RNA, 250 nt
Filed under: uncultured bacterium
Lineage: Bacteria
Description: partial 16S ribosomal RNA
Rfam family: Bacterial small subunit ribosomal RNA
Source: RNAcentral